GUGAUCACUUCAGCAGCACAUACGCUAAAAUUGGAAUGAUAGAAGAUUAGCAUGGCCCCUGCAUAAAGAUUACAUGCAAAUUCAUGAACACUGGAACAAGCUU
Molecule: small nuclear RNA, 103 nt
Organism: Anser brachyrhynchus (Pink-footed goose)
Lineage: Eukaryota; Metazoa; Chordata; Aves; Anseriformes; Anatidae
Source: Ensembl